RNAcentral lists this transfer RNA (74 nucleotides) under Mediterraneibacter torques. Its description in RNAcentral is "[Ruminococcus] torques tRNA-Thr(ggt)". It matches the Rfam family "tRNA". From Rfam's summary of the family: Transfer RNA (tRNA) molecules are approximately 80 nucleotides in length. Their secondary structure includes four short double-helical elements and three loops (D, anti-codon, and T loops). The record is from RNAcentral. Lineage: Bacteria; Bacillati; Bacillota; Clostridia; Lachnospirales; Lachnospiraceae. RNAcentral also lists the same sequence under 4 other names.
GCUGAUGUGGCUCAGUCGGUAGAGCGUCGCCUUGGUAAGGCGGAGGUCACGGGUUCGAUUCCCGUCAUCAGCUC